This 961-nucleotide ribosomal RNA is filed under the name Tilletiopsis sp. RNAcentral's name for it is "SSU rRNA". It matches the Rfam family "Eukaryotic small subunit ribosomal RNA", at positions 90 to 1076 of the family's 1831-position model. The record is from RNAcentral. Lineage: Eukaryota; Fungi; Basidiomycota; Exobasidiomycetes; Entylomatales.
CGAAUGGCUCAUUAAAUCAGUUAUAGUUUAUUUGAUGGUAUCUUGCUACAUGGAUAACUGUGGUAAAUCUAGAGCUAAUACAUGCUUAAAAGCCCCGACUUCUGGAAGGGGUGUAUUUAUUAGAUAAAAACCAACCCUUCGGGUCCCUUGGUGAAUCAUAAUAACUUCUCGAAUCGCAUGGCCUUGCGCCGGCGAUGCUUCAUUCAAAUAUCUGCCCUAUCAACUGUCGAUGGUAGGAUAGAGGCCUACCAUGGUUGCAACGGGUAACGGGGAAUAAGGGUUCGAUUCCGGAGAGGGAGCCUGAGAAACGGCUACCACAUCCAAGGAAGGCAGCAGGCGCGCAAAUUACCCAAUCCCGACACGGGGAGGUAGUGACAAUAAAUAACAAUAUAGGGCUUUUAUAGGUCUUAUAAUUGGAAUGAGUACAAUUUAAAUCCCUUACGAGGAACAAUUGGAGGGCAAGUCUGGUGCCAGCAGCCGCGGUAAUUCCAGCUCCAAUAGCGUAUAUUAAAGUUGUUGCAGUUAAAAAGCUCGUAGUUGAACUUCAGGCCUGGCCGGUCGGUCCGCUUCACAGCGUGUACUGCUUGGCCGGGCCUUCCCUCUAGGUGAUCCGGCAUGCUCUUUACUGGGUGUGUCGGGAACCUGGACUUUUACUUUGAAAAAAUUAGAGUGUUCAAGCAGGCCUAUGCCCGAUAUAUUAGCAUGGAAUAAUAAAAUAGGACGUGCGUUUCUAUUUUGUGGUUUCUAGAUCGCGUAUGAUAUAGGAUAGUGGGGGCAUAGUAUCACAUGCUAGAGGUGAAAUUCUUGGAUUUUGUGAAGACUAACUUCUGCGAAAGCAUUUGCCAAGGAUGUUUUCAUUAAUCAAGAACGAAGGUUAGGGGAUCGAAAACGAUCAGAUACCGUUGUAGUCUUAACAGUAAACUAUGCCGACUAGGGAUUGGGCGAUGUUAUUUUCUUGACU